AUUGAACGCUGGCGGCAUGCCUUACACAUGCAAGUCGAACGGCAGCACGGGUGCUUGCACCUGGUGGCGAGUGGCGAACGGGUGAGUAAUACAUCGGAACGUACCUUAUCGUGGGGGAUAACGCAGCGAAAGCUGUGCUAAUACCGCAUACGCCCUGAGGGGGAAAGCGGGGGAUCGAAAGACCUCGCGCGAUUAGAGCGGCCGAUGCCUGAUUAGCUUGUUGGUGGGGUAAAAGCCCACCAAGGCGACGAUCAGUAGCUGGUCUGAGAGGACGAUCAGCCACACUGGGACUGAGACACGGCCCAGACUCCGACGGGAGGCAGCAGUGGGGAAUUUUGGAAAAUGGGGGAAACCCUGAUCCAGCAAUGCAGCGUGAGUGAAGAAGGCCUUCGGGUUGUAAAGCUCUUUUGUCAGGGAAGAAACACCGGCUCUAACACAGUCCGGGAAUGACGGUACCUGAAGAAUAAGCACCGGCUAACUACGUGCCAGCAGCCGCCGCCG
RNAcentral lists this ribosomal RNA (501 nucleotides) under uncultured bacterium. Its description in RNAcentral is "partial 16S ribosomal RNA". It matches the Rfam family "Bacterial small subunit ribosomal RNA", at positions 29 to 523 of the family's 1533-position model. The record is from RNAcentral.